AGAAGUUGGUGUUUAAAAUGGCC
This 23-nucleotide non-coding RNA is filed under the name Arabidopsis thaliana (thale cress). The record is from RNAcentral. Lineage: Eukaryota; Viridiplantae; Streptophyta; Magnoliopsida; Brassicales; Brassicaceae.